GAUGGAGUUGCGGAUGAUCGCGACCACACGUCGAGGAAAGUCCGGACACCACAGGGCAGGAUGGUGGGUAACACCCACUCGGAGCAAUCCGCAGGCUAGUGCCACAGAAAGUAGACCGCCCCACUUGCUGGGGUAAGGGUGAAAGGGUGGAGUAAGAGACCACCAGCGGGCGUGGCGACGCGCCCGGCUCGGUAAACCCCAUCCGGUGCAAGAUCAAGCAGAACACGUUAUGAGGCUGCCCGCCCAGUGUUCGGGUUGAUCGCUUGAGUCCCGCGGUAACGCGGCGACCAGAUAGAUGAUCAUCAAGCGCACGACUCAUAAUUGUGCGCUCACAGAAUCCGGCUUAUAGCACUCCAUCCCGU
This 362-nucleotide RNase P RNA is filed under the name Micrococcaceae bacterium. Its description in RNAcentral is "RNase P RNA component class A". It matches the Rfam family "Bacterial RNase P class A". Rfam says of the family: Ribonuclease P (RNase P) is a ubiquitous endoribonuclease, found in archaea, bacteria and eukarya as well as chloroplasts and mitochondria. Its best characterised activity is the generation of mature 5'-ends of tRNAs by cleaving the 5'-leader elements of precursor-tRNAs. The record is from RNAcentral. Lineage: Bacteria; Bacillati; Actinomycetota; Actinomycetes; Micrococcales; Micrococcaceae.